CCGUCGCUUUAGUCCACUCAGCCAUCUCUCC
Molecule: transfer RNA, 31 nt
Filed under: Eustoma russellianum (showy prairie gentian)
Lineage: Eukaryota; Viridiplantae; Streptophyta; Magnoliopsida; Gentianales; Gentianaceae
Also listed under: 13 other names
Description: Eustoma exaltatum subsp. russellianum partial tRNA-Ser
Source: RNAcentral